Molecule: long non-coding RNA, 1529 nt
Organism: Lycium barbarum (goji berry)
Lineage: Eukaryota; Viridiplantae; Streptophyta; Magnoliopsida; Solanales; Solanaceae
Exons: 4
Source: RefSeq, a predicted model, not a curated record
ACUUUUUUUUUUAAUGUUUUUUAUUAUAUAGGGGUAAGGGUAGGGGAAAUGGAAGAGAGGAUUACAACAUGGGAAUUCGAACCCUCUCACUAUUUCCUUUGUCUGGUUACAUUUUUUUUUUAAAUAAUUUUUUUAAUUACAUAGGGGUAGGGAAAGGGGAUUAUAAUGUGGGGAUUUGAACUCUCACCAAUAAUGUGAGAGUUCAGGUAGUCAACCAACUGAGCUACUAGAUUCCUACCUUUGUCUCUGGUUAUGUUAUGUUCCUUUUUCUGUUUUUUUUUUAUGACAUGGGAACCGCACCCUUUACCCUUUGGGUGCGCACCUCCUGUGCAAUAGCUCGCAAACCACAUGGGAGAGAUAACCCGCACUAGCUAAGCCCCGUGCAACGAGCUCAACCCAGAAGAUAAAUCCCCUGCUGUUGUUAGCAGGGGGUUUCGAACCGGAGACCUCCAUUAUGAAAGCCCCAUGUUCAAUCAACUGAGCCACCCUUGCAGUAAAAAGUUUCUGUUUUUCCCGUGGUCCAUUCUCUGUUUCCUGAUGUUUGUAUAAUUUUCAUUAUUUUAAAAAAAAAUAUUUGAUGCUAAUUUCUUGGAUGAUUAAAUUGAUGUCGUUAGUUAUUAAGUGCAUUAUUUUUUUUCAGUAGUCUUUCUGUAUUUGAAGAAGCUUGCAUUUUUUCUAUUUGUAAAAUUAUUUUUCUGAAUAAUGAGACUUUCUGAAGGGAGCAAGCCUCGGGUUAUAGACUUGUGGAUUUGUUUAUAUCCGCUGAAAUUGGGAGACAUAUGUGCCAGCCCCUUUCUUUUGCUUGUAAUAAACAUAUGCUGACUCAAGGUGUUGCUUUGAAGCUCAAUAAUUGUGAAGCCUUGAAGAAGUAUCUAGAUGAUACUCUAUAUAUAUUGAAGAAGAUGAGAAUGAUUUGGUUUUCUAUGCCAUUCAGAAAGAGAGGCUUAUGGACAAUUUUCCAACAUGGAACAUGCCCAAGAAACAUCUAGAUAUCACCAAGCUCAAAUUCUUUUAGCUAGGGAAAGGGAAGAAGAGAAAGAGGAUAAUUCAAAUGCUCCACCUGAAGAAGUUUCCCAAACGCCAAAUAAUGAAACUGAUAGAAAGCGUCAAUUGGCACUGAAAUUCCUGAUUUGGACCAAGCAGAUAAGGAUCAAUGUCAUGAAGCACUCACUUCAAAUAUACAUGACGAACUUUCCACACAAGUUCUGGUCAUUUCCAUGAAGUUGAAGUUCAUGACAUAACUUCUAUAUAUACCCACAGCAAGCAAUGCCUGCAGCAGUUCAAUCCUACGAGUUCCUUUUCCAGAUAACCUCACUUGAUUUUUUGGCAAAAUUUCAGCUUGAUUUCAAUGUGUGCAUAUGUGAAGGUAAGUCCAUAACGUCAUGUUUUCUCUUGGACAACCUAAUGCGAUGGUAACAUCUUUACCUUUUGUAAUCAACUUUGGUCUUUUGCUAGCUUUCGGUUUUAACUUUCUCUACUUUUGAUAUUUCAGCUGACUCAAAUAAAGAAAGGUUUAAACCAUAAAUCUA